UCAGAGAGGUCUCCUGAUGAUCUCUUCAAUUCUCCAGAGCAAUUCUCAGUUUUUGUGUCAGAAGCUCUUUCUCCUAUCUGUCACGUCUUUUUAAGAGUCAGUUAAUUUCACUGAUUCGCUUAGCACACAAGGAUUAAUUCGCUCUGCGAAUUAAUUUAAAUUUGUGCACUCAACUGCUGCAAUUCGCUAAGCGCACAGAGUCUGGUGAGCUAUGCGAAUUUCAGUAUUGCACUCUGAUGGGUGUCGCCGCCCAAUCAAAUUUAAUGAGCAUAAAGAAUAUGCAGUAUAGCUAGGAGGUGACUCCUAGGUCGUCUCUCAAGGACCAAAUGUGGUUUGAGUCUUAGGUCUAACACGAAGGGAGGGGGGUUGUGAAAGGUUUUUGCAAGAAAAAUUAGACUAAAUUAAAAAUGGAAAUUAAACCGAACAUAAUUAAAAUCAUUAAAGUAAAUGAAAACAAUAAACUAAACACUACAGCAGAUAAAUCUCCAAACAUGAUUAAAACUAUUAAAAUACAAUGCUUGAACUAAAAAGUUAAAUGCACAUUGAUUAAAAAAAAUAAAUAAAAAAUAAAAAAAAACUACGAAAUUGAAGGGCACCACGUCAGGUAACAAAAUUAAAUGAACAUCAUAUUCAAAACAAUACAAGAAAAAAAUAAAAUAAAAGAAAAUGAAAAACUAUAAAAGAAAGAACAUAAUUAUAAGCUUGAAACACGUUAACAGUACUAACAAAAUAAGAAUGCAUGAUGAAUAUUAUAUGUUAAAAGGUUACUUCAAAGCUAAAUGCAAAUUUAUAAAAUAUAAUAAUAUAUCAUGAUUCAAGAGUGAAGACCAAAAUUAGCUCACAUUUCUAGAAGAUAUAUUUCAACUAAAAAUAAUAAAAUCUACAAAGCUGAACUCUACUGAUGCUGCUAUGUGCGUCACUUCAUCUCUUUGCAAUUGAAGAAAAAUGUAUUCAUCUUCUCGGUUCCAGCAAGAAAAUGAAAACCCCUAUAUUGCAACGUCACUCUCCUACCACAAAGAAAGUUAAUUCCCCUUCUGCAUAAGCCAAGUGAUGUCGCCUCUCCUUGCUAGACCCGUGCACACUUCAAUAUGAAAUCAAGUUCUACUAUUUUCUAAAAGCUUAAAUCACCGUUCCUGCAUCACUUCUUUAGAUGAAAGAAAUAUACAAAGCAUUUAAUAACAAAAUGAAAGUAGCGGACUCCACCCAAAGAAAUUGAACAGCGUUUCUUUAGAAGACAAAAAAAAUAACUACGUGAGCUGCUUGCAAUUGUUGAAUGAAAUUAAAUUAAAAAAAAUACUACCAAAGCCGUGACAUUUAUCUGCACACCCGUGGAUUAAUAUGCAUCCUCUCAUUCAUCCAUAAUCGAGCACGGUACCCAUUGUUCAAAGAAAAAGAAUGCUAUCUAAAAUUGUUCCAGCCACCAAAAUUCUGAAAAUGAGUGCAGCCCCUUUUCCAACCAAUCUGCCGAGAGUAUGAAUAAUCCCAAGUGACGGUUCUUAGGUUUU
This 1505-nucleotide long non-coding RNA is filed under the name Vigna radiata. Its description in RNAcentral is "long non-coding RNA (VRAD_LNC014054)". Lineage: Eukaryota; Viridiplantae; Streptophyta; Magnoliopsida; Fabales; Fabaceae. The record is from RNAcentral.